AGUCUCGUAGCUCAGUUGGUUAGAGCACUUCUCUGAUAAGGAAGGGGUCCACGGUUCAAAUCCGCGCGGGACUAC
RNAcentral lists this transfer RNA (75 nucleotides) under Bacteroidia bacterium. Its description in RNAcentral is "tRNA-Ile". It matches the Rfam family "tRNA". Rfam says of the family: Transfer RNA (tRNA) molecules are approximately 80 nucleotides in length. Their secondary structure includes four short double-helical elements and three loops (D, anti-codon, and T loops). Further hydrogen bonds mediate the characteristic L-shaped molecular structure. tRNAs have two regions of fundamental functional importance: the anti-codon, which is responsible for specific mRNA codon recognition, and the 3' end, to which the tRNAs corresponding amino acid is attached (by aminoacyl-tRNA synthetases). tRNAs cope with the degeneracy of the genetic code in two manners: having more than one tRNA (with a specific anti-codon) for a particular amino acid; and 'wobble' base-pairing, i.e. permitting non-standard base-pairing at the 3rd anti-codon position. Lineage: Bacteria; Pseudomonadati; Bacteroidota; Bacteroidia. The record is from RNAcentral.